GGUUUUGUAGUGUAGCGGUUAUCACUCCAGAUUCUGACAUUCUCAGAGCUUUCUGGUAACCCCGGUUCGAUUCCGGGCAAGACCU
Plenodomus tracheiphilus IPT5 is the source of this 85-nucleotide non-coding RNA. The record is from the annotation of a GenBank genome assembly. Lineage: Eukaryota; Fungi; Ascomycota; Dothideomycetes; Pleosporales; Leptosphaeriaceae.